RNAcentral lists this long non-coding RNA (19722 nucleotides) under Nicotiana tabacum (common tobacco). RNAcentral describes it as "long non-coding RNA (NTAB_LNC010028)". The record is from RNAcentral. Lineage: Eukaryota; Viridiplantae; Streptophyta; Magnoliopsida; Solanales; Solanaceae.
UGUGCUCGAUCUGAUGGGGGUUGCUAGUUUUCCGGCGAGUUCGGUGAUAUGGGAGCAGCUGGGACUGUUGGUGACUGGUGUUGAGAAUGGGAAGAAGAAGAAACACCGAUGGGUUGGGUGGUCGCCUCUUCUGGUUUCCGUCGAACAGCAGUUGGUCUUUCGUAUGUCUCUAGGUUAGUUCUUUAGGUGUAUUUUUUGGCUCCUUUGGUCUUAUGAAGAAGAGGGAGAUCCUGUAUAGAGGGGGGGUCUCUUUGUUGUGAAUUGCUGAAGAAGGUGAAGUCAGGGGGAAGUCCACUUAGUGUUAGCGGCGGAUCCUAUCCCUUGUGUGUCUAGGGUUCUAGGUUAUAAUUUUAGGUGGGGAAAUGGAGCGGGUCAGAGGGUUAUUUGGGUCAAGUCUGGUUUUUCCUUAGUUUGGGUAAGGAGAUGGGCUAGUUUAAGUGAAGAAGGGGUAUUGAAAGAUUUUGGCUCACUCAUUACAUUGCCCAAUUUUAAGUUUUUGUUCAAAGUUCCUCCUCUUUUUUAUUUAUUUUUCUCUUUUUCUUAAUUUUUUAACUACUAAAUUUAAUUAAAAAUACUAGACUAAAAUCUAAUUUGUACAACCAUAUUAAUUAUUUAUUUAAAAUAUAAAAAUAAUUAAUUAACUUAGAGCUUAAUGCAAAGAAAUUGCUAAUUUGAGACCAAAAACUAAAAAUGUAAAAAUGGCCAAUAUUUUUUAUUUUUCUUUCUACUAAUGCAACUAACUAAUAACUUAAACCUAAAAAUGCAAAUAUCAACCUAAAAGUGCAAUGUAUGAAAUUUUAACAUUUUAGGGUAUUUCUCAUGUUUUUUGGAAUAUUAAAUAUGCACCAAAUUGUAACUAAAUGCAAAUACUUACCAAACAAUCAUUAUAAAUUGCUAAAAUAAUAAACACUCAAAAGAAAAAAUCCAUUUGAGACCUUUGUAGGAAUAUUAUUAUUCGGGCAAAAAUCACGUGCUCACAACUACCCCUCUUUGCUCGGGAACACGAAGAGUUUUCGAGCAAAGAUAAAGUGAGCAAAUAUGAGCGAUUUUUGCCCAUUUGGAUACUCUGUGGGAAGCAUUUUGAAAAGUUUGACCGAACCUUGCUUCCGAGAUUCCCUACAUAUCCUUAGCUAUAAAGGAAUUGGGUUAGUGUAGUUCAGGAAAAUGAGGAGGAGAUGAGUCAGACAGUCGAGUGAGGUGCCUUUACAUCGAAGUUCCGGUCCGUGGUCCUGUUAUUACAUCAUAAAUCAAGAUUCAAAAGACUAACUAAGCCUAUCAGCUACGAGUUACAAAAUCCCUAUCUAUGAGUCUUCCUAAGCUUGAUCUUGAGUCUUGGUUGGUUCUUCAUGCAGACUCUGAUCUAAAUCUUGAUGCUUGUUAGCUGCGGUUGUGAGUUCAAUAUUCCACGGCUUCUUCAGAUCAAGACCGGACAUGCAGUGCUUGUGACUUCAAUCAUGUCUUGAGCAGCUCAUAUCUUUCAUUUGCUUCUGCAUUUGGAUUCACUUCCCUCUUUUUUCCAUUUUUUUCUUUUUUAUUUUUAUUUUUUUGUUUUUUUUCUUGGAUUGAAACUUCUUCUUUGUUCAUCUCGGACUGUUGACCUGCAUUCUUGUCGCGAGCUUCUUCUACUUCUGAACUUAAAUGAACCAAAUAGGAAGUGCAUCUCCUAAUAAUGAAGUUGAAUGAACCAAACUAGGAAGUGCAACUCCUAGUGGUAAAAUCUCAAUUUAGGAAGUACAUCUCCUAAAAGUAUAUCAAGAACCUGGACUACGAAGUGCGUCUCCUAGGGGUAAAAUCUCAAUUUAGGAAGUGCGCCUCCUGAAAUAAAAUAUAACUUGAAAGACCCAAACUAAGAAGUGCCUCUCCUAGGGGUGAAACUUCAAUGACCCAAACUAGGAAGUGCGUCUCCUAGGAAUGAAUUUAAAUGACCAAAGCUAGGAAGUGUGUCUCCUAACAAGUAUAAUCUGAAAGACCCCUACUAGGAAGUGCAUCUCCUAAUGGGUAAAACUUUACGACACAAACCAGGAAGUGUGUUUCCUAGGAGAAAAACUUAAUGUAGGAAGAGUGUCUCCUAAAACAAAACAUAACAUGAAAGACCCAGGCUAGGAAGUGCAUCUCCUAAGGGUGAAACCUUGAUUUAGGAAGUGCAUCUCCUACAACAAAAUAUAACUUGAAAACCCAUACUAGGAAAUGUUUCUCCUAAGGGAUAUGUGUGAUCUUCCCAAUAGCCUUUGCAUAAGCAGAACUGGGGUAUUACACCUUAAAAAUUCAAGCUUCCAAGAUUUGAUAGAACAUAGCUUUCAUCCCUGUUUCAGACAAAGAAAACUUGUGAGUUUAAACAUGGUGGCUAAUUUGUGGCCUUCACUUUGAGGGCGAUUGCUCCUUCACUUGUCAUGAUAACGUUGAUUUCAACUUGAAAGACAUUGCUUGUUUAUUGACUAACCACUUUUUCUGUCACCCUUAUCAUAGAAAAUACCUCUGAUUCAUUCAAACUCAAUACUCUCUAUCUACUGCAUUUCUCAUGAAUUGACAUAUACCGAACCUUUGCAUUUCACAUGAAUCCAAAAGCACAUUGAUUGUUACCAACUCAGUGGGCUCGCUAUUCUUUUCCUGACGUAUGCCACUAGCCUUGUCCUUGAGGUCUAUUGCUCCUUCACUUGCCAUGAUAACUUUUAUUUCCAUUUGGAAGACCAUGCUUAUUAUUGGUUAACCACUUUUUCUGUCAACCUUAUCAUAGAAAAUAACUUUGAUCCAUUCAAACCCAACAUCCUCUAUCUGUUGCAUUGUUCAUGAAUUGACAUAUACUGACCCUUUAUAUUUCACAUGAAUCCCAAAGCACGUUGAUCGUUACCAACUCAGUGCGCUUGUUGUUCUUUCCUGACGUAUGCCACUUUGAUGUGCUAGCAAGAUCCCGUUUUGCACAAUUGGAAAACUGGUGGCAAAUUUUGAAGUCAUUUCUCACUUGUUCUGACCAAACAGACUUAGGAAGAGGAAGUAAAGAAGACAAAAGCAAUAGAGUAAGGACAAUGGAAAGAUUUUGAUUCCUAACAAGAAAACUACAAAGAAGAAACUUAUUAGAUAUGGAUACCAACUCUAAUGACAAUGACAUACACCUUUGGAUUAAGUGGCCUAAUCUGUCAAGCAAGUCUGAUGUUCAACUCUUGUCAUACCCCCUAAACCAUGAAACUUGGCUUCAAUGCUCCGAUUAUCCAAUUUGAUUCACGAUCCUUAUUCGACUUGUGGUGCCCGAAGGGUCUUCACCAUCAAGCCUCUCUCAAUUUGUUCUUUCUCUCAACUUACCAUCGUCUUAUGGUGCCUGUGAAGGUUUUCACCAAUAGGACUCUCUCAUUUUAUUCUUUUUCUUUUUAUUUCCAGUGAUUCUGUAGAUGACAAGACAUUAACCAUAAUAAAAACAUCAUAUGCUCCUGGCAUAGCUAACUUAGCACUCUCAAAGAUUAACUAGGAGGUCAUUUUUGGACUGUAAUGUAGCUUUUGGAUAGGGUUAGAAAGAAAUGAUAUCAUAAAGGCUCAAAACAACUAAGAUAACAGGGUUAAUUUAUUAACAACUUUUGGAAUCCAUUCUAAAACUUUUGCCCCAAUUUCUAAAACAAAGAAAUUGGAUUCUUUUUUUUCUUUUUAAGAUGGAAUUUCAGCCCACUCUCGACUUCGUGGGAUCAUGAAAUAUUUUAUUUGGUAUGAACGAACCGUAAGGCUGCCUACGUAUCUUGUGGUGACAAGAAUCAAGUCAAACGUAGUUAACGAGACUACUUUUGUUCCUAUUUUCCUUUUAUUUUUCCUUUCUUUCUUUUUCCCCCUUUUUUCUUUUUCUUUUCCUUUUUCUUAAUUUUUUUUUCUUUUUUUCCUUUAUCUCUAUUUUUCUUUUUCUUUUUUUGAAUUUUCCUUUUGGAAAGAACUUUUUAAAAUAAACCUAUGGGGACAUGAACUUUUUUUUCGUAUGACUCUAACUUGAUUCCAAAAGAGGGGAGGUCAAAGAAAUUAGUACAGGCUAAAAGGGGUAUUCAAAUGGUAUAAGUGUUUGGGUAGCUAAAACAGGUCUCCCACUCCUUGAAAAUACCAUGUACAACACAUGCAACUUGAAAUGAAAAAGGAACAGCACAAGCAACAUUUCUUUUACAACUUCGACAUUGAUAUCACUGAUAUGCUUUCCAUUUUUUUUAGUGCUUUGUCAAGUACAGAACUCUCGUUGGGUAAUUUCUUCUUCACAGUGGAUACCUCCGUCGGCUUGGAGCAAAAUCCCUUGGCUUAUCUUGUUACUUGAGAUGCGCUCGAGCUCAAAGUUGCUCGCUUCAAAUUGUUGGGAAGCACUCUCUUGCAACAAAUUCUUGACAUCCUAUUAACAUUCCAAAUUAUCUGCCCCAGUUUCACACAGUUCGGGCUUUAAAUGAUCUCAAAGUGUUCAAAUAUGUACUCAUUUCCCUCAAAUGUCCCUAUCAUCUUCAAAUUUAUUUCAUUACUUCAUGAUUAAUCUAGCUUUUAAUGCCAGGAUUAGAAUUAUGUGUGUGUGUCAUAUCACUAGAGCCAGCAUGAAAAGAACUAAAAAAAGAGAAGGGAGUUAUACCAAAAAAUGACUAGAAAUAACAAAAAACAGAAAAUUGCAUUAGAUAGAUGGUGAAAGGGUUUGAAUAACAAAACUAGCAAACUAAACUAGGGUUACAAUCCUGGAACAAACCUAGAUAACACUAAACGAGUUACUACGACUAAACGAACUAGGAAAAAUAAAAGGAUAGAAGGGUUUGAUCCACAAGAUAAUAUCCAGAUUACAACCUUGAAAUAAACUGGACAACAGAAAUGACAACAAAUUAAACCACCAAGACUCCUCCCUGGCUAACCAAGAAAGGAGCAUCUUUCCAAUCACCAAGCUCAACAUCAUAGCCAUUGAGUUCCGCAUCAACAGUACUAGGACCCUUACAAGUCUUCAUCGCAUUGUCCCUAGCAAAUUGCUUUUGGGUCCUUUUCCCCGGCUCGUUCUUAGAAUCAACUUCCGGAACCAAGAGUGAUAGCGCUGAAAGCUUUGCGGCAAGUGGCCCUUCGAGGAUCUCAGAAGAGUUUCUCAUAUUACUUUUACACACAAAUCAUGUCCACCAUAUGCAUCUCAUUAUGAACAGAGAAUGGACUUUGGCUAGAAUCUGCUGCAUUUGGGUUUUGCACGGUAAUGUCACCUGCAUCAAUAAGCUUCUGGACUGCUCCUUUCAGAUGCCAACACUUUUCUAUGUCAUGCCCCGGGGCACUUGAGCAAUAUGCACACCUUUGAGAAAAAUCAAAAUUCUUUGGAAGAGGGUUCGGUAUUUUUAUUUGAAUCGGCUUCAACAUGUCCAAUUGCAUCAGCCUUUUGAACAGACUGGCAUAUGAUUCUCCAAUAUGAGUGAAAGACUUUUCUCUUUGUUGCUGCCUUCUCAUUUGUACUCUAGCCUCGGUUGAAACCUUUUGCAGGUAGGUGGUUGAUAUACUUGAGGAGGCGGGUAAGAUAUUUGCAGAAAUAGUGCAGGCCAUCGCGGGUCUCGUUGGUGUGGAGCAUAUGGCGGUGCAUUAUGGAUAAGGUACUGGGAAGGUGAGGUAUGACUUUGGGGAUUUUAUGGAGAGAAGUAGCAUUGGGGAGGAUUAUUUGGAGCACGAGGAUAUCCAUGGGGUCGAUAUUGAGGCUGAAAGCAUUGAGCAGGUAAGCGGUACCGCACCUGCGAUAUACCGCACCUGCGAACGGGAAAUCGCAGGUGCGGAAAUUGGAAUUUAAGUGUAAGUCGCAGAUGUGACCCCUUGUUCCGCACAUGCGGGACCGCAAAAGCGGUCCCAAGGCCGCAGAUGCGUAAACUGCUGGGCAGAUUAUUUUAAAAGGGGUUCCGCGACUUUGGGGUUUAUUUCACCAUUUUUAUCAUGGCUUGGGAGCUUUUGGGACGAUUUGAAAGAGGGAUUUCAAGGGAACUUCAUUGAGAUAAGGAAUUUGGACCUAAAUCGUUCCUAUGCUAUUAUUUUACAUAUUAGAGCUAGAAAUCAUGGAAAUUAAGGGUGAAAAUUUGGGGAAACUAGGGCUUAGUAUUGGAGACCCUUAAGUAAUGAUUUGAGGGACCAUUUGAGGUUGGAUUUUGGUAAUUUUAGUAUGCAUGAACUCGUGAGAGUGUGAGGAUUUUGAAAAUAUAAAUUUUACCCGCUUCCGAGAAGUGGGUCCGAGGGGCAUUUUGGUCAUUUUACCUAAUUUUGCAUAUUAGCUUAGAAUUUCUUUGUAGAAUCAGUUACUUGAAGUGUUAUUUAUAUUAUAAAAUUAAAUUGAAUAAAUUUGGGCUAUUUGGAGUCGAGUACUCGUGGCAAGAGCGUGGUUUCGGAUUGAUUAUUGAGCAGGUUCGGGGUAUGUGGCUUGUCUAACCUUGUGUGGGGGACUUUCCCCUUAGGAUUGGUAUUGUGAUAAUUGAAAUGCCUUGUACGUGAGGUGACGAGUGCGUACUUGUGCUAAUUGUUGAAAAUCCAAUUUUCAUUAAGUAAUUUUUAUCGUGUUUUCCCUUUCUAUUUAUUUUAUUUGCACCUUUAAACCUGAUGUUAGUUAGAGAAGCAUGUCUAAUUGACAUAAUUGCUUUAUUUGCUUUAACUGCCUUAUUUGUAUUACGUGAAGCAUGAUAGGUUAGAACUAUCUAUGAACCUUGUUAUGAAGAUGAGUUUAUUUGAGUAUUCCUUGUGCCAUUGUUGUGUGUUUUACUUUGGGACUACGGGACGUCAUCCUGGAAGAUCUCAUGUACGCAUUUACGAUUUGGGCUGAAGUACGGGAUACCAAGAGAUCCCUAGCAUACAUUGAGGAUACCAAGAGAUCCCUAGCAUACAUUAAGGAUACCAAGAGAUCCUCGGUAUACCAAGAGAUCCCUAGCAUAUAUUGAGGAUACCGAGAGAUCCCUAACAUACAUUGAGGAUACCAAGAGAUCCCUAGCAUAUAUUGAGGAUACCGAGAGAUCCUCGGGAUACCAAGAGAUCCCUAGCAUACAUUGAGGAUACCGAGAGAUCCUCGGGAUACCAAGAGAUCCCUAGUAUAUAUUGAGGGUUCUAAGAGAUCCACGGGAUACUGAGAGAUCCCCGGUUAUUUCCUUGUGAAUGUUUUUGCCUCUGUUUGCAAUUAUUGAAUUCCGUGUUUUCCUGUAUAAAAUUCUUAUCAUUAGUUUUAAACUGUACUGCUUAUCUUAUACUAUCAUGUCUUAUAUUCUCUAUUUUAUCUCAGUAGGGCCCUAACCUUCCUCGUCACUAUCCAACCGAGGUUAGGCUUGGCACUUACUGAGUACCACUGUGGUGUACUCAUGCCCCUUUCUGCGCAUGUUUUUCAUGUGCAGAUCUAGGUACCGCUACUCAGGCCUACCAUCCUUGAGGGAGGUGACUACUCUAGAGACUUCGAGGUAUAUCUGCCGCGUCCGCAGACCAAGAAAUCCCUUUCUAUUCCAGCUUUUAGUAUUUAGCCCUUCUGUAUUUUUCUGUUCUUAUUAGACAUUCCGGAGUUAGAGCUAUGUAAUAUUUCUCUUAGCUUGUUAUUCGUGGGUUUCCGGGUCUUAGAUUUACGUAUUGGUAUUGAGAGUAAAACGUGGUGUAUGCCGAGCGGCGCAUUUAGAACAUUGUUAUUACUUUAUUUCUGUUUUAAAUUAUUUUACUUUCGCAAAUUUUGAUUUUUAUUUCGCAAAUUUAGGCUUACCUAGUCAUAAAGACUAGGUGUCGUCACGACAGUUCACGGAAGGCAAACUAGGGUCGUGUCAUGACCCUAACCCGAACCCAGUCGUGAUGGCACCUCUCGUGAAGACAAGGCCAGCCAACUAUUCCCAAUUCGACGUUAAAUAGUUAAAACAGCAGUAAAACAGUCUAAGACAUGAUUAAUAAUAUGAAGUAGCAGAUAAUAUCGAUAAAAAAAAUGCGGAAGUACAACCCAACACAGCCCUAACCGGGGUGUCACAAGUCAUGAGGGUCUAUAGGCCAUAAUACAAGUCUGCUAAAUCCAUAAACUAGUACAAAUGUUUGAAGGGAAAUAGAAAUGAUAAAAGAGUAGAGACACGGGGCUGCGAACGUCAAGAAAUACCUCGUAGUCUGCGAACACUCGCCUGAAAUUGGAGGGAUCAGCACUCGGGAGCGGUACCAGCUACGCCUGAAUCUGCACAUAGGGGUGUAGGGAGUAAAGUGAGUACUCCAACUCAGUGAGUAACAAAUGUAAAUAAAGGCUGAAAGCGGGAAAUCACGUAGGGCACAAAGCAUUCUUUAAUGAAGCACUGAAACCAUUUCAAAAUGAUAAAACAGUGAAAGAUAGGUAAAAUCCUUUAACUCAAAAUUUAACUUCAUGAAAAGCCCUUUUCAAUGAUUAAGCAGGUAAUUAACAGUCAGUUAUGAAAAGUAAACACAUAAAGGCUCGCCCCUUCGGCACAGUAUCGACAAAUCCGCCCCUCGGGAAACAUCUCAGAACAGUACCAGCCCCUCGGGCAAUCAUAUAGAACAAUGCCAGCCCCUCGGGCUCAAUCUCACAUCACAAUAGGUACCUGCGAUCACUGGACAUCAAACUAGGCCCUUGGCCUCAUAUCAAUCAAGCCACCUCGUGGCAUACAUAUCUCAGGCCCUCGGCCUCAAAUCAGUAUCAGUGUUGCCUCACAACAUAGGUCUUGGCCUUACUCAGUCAAAAAUCCUCACAAGCCCCUCGGGCAAUAGUAAAAUAGUGUUUCUCAGCCCAAACCUCAUUUAAGAUGUAAUUUAAAUAUUAAAACUAAGUAAACAUGGCUGAAUAGUAAAACAGUGGAAAAUAACAUGACAGAGUUCAAGUAUAAAGUCAAAACAGUGAGGAAAUAUCAAUAAAAAUCUUCGAAGGGUUCAAAUAGUGGCACUAGGCCCAAAUAUAGCAUUCAGCCCAAAUAAUGAUGAUAGUAAAUAGUUUUCAAUCAAAUACGUGGUAAAAUCAUCAAUCGGGACGGACCAAGUCACAAUCCCCAAUAGUGCACGACCCCACUCUUGUCAUCAAGUGUGUGCCUCAUCUCAAUAUAGCACUACGAUAUGCUCUUCGGGGAUUCAAACCCUCAAACAUCAUUUAAAAUCAUUACUCACCUCGAAUCGGCCUCCACGCACGUCGAAUCUAUCCAAAAUCAGAACGAGGACGUCAAAGUAUACUAAGGGAACAAAGCCCAAGCGAAAACAAUCAAUAAAGGACACAAAUCCCGAAAUUACCAAAACCCGACCCCCGAGCCCACGUCUCGAAGGUCAAAAAUAUUUACACCAAUAGAUUACUUAUCUUCCCAUGGUUCAUACAUACCAAGAACACCAAAAUUCAUCCACAAAUGACCCUUCAAAUCCUAAAUGUUUGGUCUCCAAUUUGAAGCCCUAGUUCUUCAAUUUUAGGCUUAGAUUCCAUGAUUUUCUGGGUGAAAUUUACAUAAUAAUGUUUUAAGUCCGAAAAUCUUACCUCCCAACGAUUCCCCUUGAAUCCCUCUUCAAUCACCUUCAAAAAUCUCCCAAAAUGGCCAACUAUGGAGGAAAUGAGCCCCAAAAUCGCGGACAAGACGAGUUAAAAACAUUCUACCCAGGCCUUAAUUUCCUUCUUCGCGAACGCGGUCAAAGCCUCGCGUUCGCGAAGCACAAAUUUACUUGGACCAAUUUUUCUCCUGCGCGAAUGCAACAUGGCCAUCGCGAAUGCGAUGGUUUCUCAACCCUUCCCUUCGCGAACGCACCCCUCUCUCGCGAACGCGAAGAACAAACGCGACCUCAGACCAGCUGACCAAAAAGACCUUAUGCGAAUGCGACUUACAUCUCGCGAAUGCGAUGCACCAACUUCCAGCCCUUCGCGAACGUGAAGGCUAAACUUCCAAUGACCCCCACUAACUCUUCGCGAACGCAAGGGUGCACUCACGAACGCAAAGAGUAAAAGCUUGCAACAGCUGAACCUGCAACUUCUGCAAUUUUUCCAACUUCAAAAUGAUCCGAUUGACCACCCGAAACUCACCCGAGGCCCCCGGGACCUCAACCAAAGGCACCAACACAUCCUAAAACCUUAUUCAAACUUGUUCCAAUCAUCAAAACACCUCAAAAACAACAUCAAAUCACCCAAAACACAUCAGAUUCAAGUCUAAAUUUCUAAAAUCUUCCGAAAUACGAUUUUGAUCAAAACCCAACCAAACCACGUCCGAAUGACCUUAAAUUUUACACACACAUCCCAAAUGACACAAUGAAGCUGUUUCAACUCUCGGAAUUCUAUUCCGACCCCUAUAUCAAAACCUCUCCUAUCAACUGGAAAUUGUCAAAAUCUCAACUUCGCCAAUUCAAGAUUAAAUCUACUCCGAACCUCCAAAACCCAUUUCAGUCACGCUCCUAAGUCAUAAAUCACCUCCCAAAGCUAACCGAACCAUCGGAACUCACAUCCGAGCCCUCUAACACAUAAGUCAACAUCCAGUUGACUUUUUCAACUUAAACUUCCUUAAAAGAGACUAAGUGUCUCAAACCUUACCAAAAUCAUUUCGGAUUCGAUCCGACCAACCCGAUACCACAAAAUACGGAUAAUGAAGCAUAAAUAAGUAGAAAUAGGGAAAACGAAGCGGUAACUCAUGAGACGACUGGCCGGGUCAUCACAGGUCGUGAUAGAAAGCUGGUGGUAAAUUUUGAAGUCAUUUCUCACUUGUUCUGAUCAAACAGACUCAGGAAGAGGAAGUAAACAAGAAAAGGAACAAAGUAAAGACAAUGGAAGAGAUGAUUUCUAACAAGAAAACUACAAAGUAGAAACUUAUUGGAUGUAGAUACCAACUCUAAUGACCAUUACAUGCACCUUUGGAUUAAGUGGCCUAAUCUGUCAAGCAAGUCUGAUGUUCAACUCUUGUUAUACCCCCUAAACCGUGAAACUGGGAUUCAAUGCUCCGAUUAUCCAAUAUUAUUUACGAUCCUUAUUCAAAUUGUGGUGCCCGAAGGGUCUUCACCAUCAAGCCUCUCUCAUUUUGUUCUUUCUCUUAACUUAUCGUCGCCUUAUGGUGCUUGUGAAGGUUUUCACCGAUAAGACUCUCUCAUUUUGUUCUUUUUCUUUUUAUUUCCUCUGAUUCUAUAGAUGGCAAGGCAUUAACCAUAAUAAAAACAUCAUAUGCUCUUGGCAUAGCUAACUUAGCACUCUCAAAGAUUAACUGGGAGGUCUUUUUUGGACUGUAAAGUGGCUUUUGGACAGGGUUAGAAAGAAAGGAUAUCAUAAAGGCUCAAAACAACUACGAUAACAGGGAUAAUUUAUUUAUAGCUUUUGGAAUCCAUUCUAAAACUUUUGCCCUAAUUUCUAAAACAAGGGAAUUGGAUUCUUUUUUUUUUAGAUGGAAUUUCUGCCCACUCUCGACUUCGUGAGAUCAUGAAAUAUUUUAUUUGGUAUGACCGAACCGUAAGGCUACCUAUGUAUCUUGUGGUGACAAGAAUCAGGUCAAGCGUAGUUCACGAGACUACUUUUGUUACUAUUUUCCUUUUUCUUUUCCUUUCUUUAUUUUUCCCCCUUUUUUUCUUUUUCUUUUCCUUUUUCUUUUUUUUCUUUUUUUCCUUUAUCUCUAUUUUUACUUUUUUUACUUUUUUUUUAAUUUUCCUUUUGGAAAGAACUUUCUAAAAUAAACCUAUGGGGACAUGAAUUUUUUUUCGUAUGACUCUAACUUGAUUUCAAAAGAGGGGAGGUCAAAGAAAUCAGUACAUGCUCGAAAAGGUAUUCGAAUGGUAUAAGUAUUUGGGUAAUUGAAAGAGGGCCUCCCAUUCCUUGAAAAUACCAUGUACAACACGUGCUACUUGAAAUGAAAAAGGAACAACACACGCAACAUUUCUUUUACAACUUCGGCAUUGAUAUCACUAAUAUGCUUUCCAUUUUUUUAGUGCCUUGUCAAGUACAUAACUCUCAUUGGGUAAUUUCUUCUUCACAGUGGAUACCUCCGUAGCUUGGAGAAAAAUCCCUUGGCUUAUCUUGGUACUUGAGAUGCGCUCGAACUCAAAGUUGCUCGCUUCAAAUUGUUGGGACGCACUCUCUUGCAACAAAUUCUUGACAUUCUAUUAACUUUCCAAAUUAUCUGGCCCAGUUUCACACAGUUCGGGAUUUAAAUGAUCUCAAAGUGUUCAAAUCUAUACUCAUUUCCCUCAAAUGUCCCUAUCAUCUUCAAAAUUAUUUCAUUGCUUCAUGAUUAAAUUAACUUUUAAGGCCAGACCUAUAAUUAUGCGUGCAUGUAAUGUCACUAGAGCCAGCAUGAAAAGAACUAAAAAAAGAGAAGGGAGCUAAACCAAAAAAUCACUAGAAAUAACAGAAAACAGAAAAUUGCAUUAGACAGGUGGUGAAAGGGUUUGAACAACAAAACUAGCAAACUAAACUAGGGUUACCACCCUAGAACAAACCUAGAUAACACUAAACGAGAUAAUACGACUAAACGAACUAGGCAAAAUAAAAGGAUAGAAGGGUUUGAUCCACAAGACAAUAUCCAGAUUACAACCUUGAAACAAAACUGGACAACAGAAAUGACAACAAAAUAAAUCAUCGAGACUCCUCCCUGGCUAACCAAAAAAGGAGCAUCUUUCCAAUCACCAAGCUCAACAUCUUAUCCACUGAGUUCCGAAUCAACAGUACUAGGACCUUCACAAGUCUUCAUCGCAUUGUCUUCAUGCAUUUGGCUAGAAUCUGCUAAAUGUAUGUUAGGGAUCUCUUGGUAUCCCGAGGAUCUCUCGGUAUCAUCAAUAUAUGUUAGGAAUCUCUUGGUAUCCCGGGGAAUUUUUGGUAUCCUCAAUGUAUGCUAGGGAUCUCUUGGUAUCCCGAGGAUCUCUCGGUAUCCUCAAUAUAUGCUAGGGAUCUCUUGGUAUCCUCAAUGUAUGCUAGGGAUCUCUUGGUAUCCCGGGGAUCUCUUGGUAUCCUCAAUGUAUGCUAGGGAUUUCUCGGUAUCCCGCACUUCAGCCCAAAUCGUAAAUGCGUACAGGGGAUCUCCCAGGAUGUCGUCCCGUAGUCUCAAAGUAAAACACACAACAAUGGCACAAGGAAUACUCAAAUAAACUCAUCUUCAUUAACAAGGUACACAAACAAUUCUAACCUUGCAUGCUUCACGUAAUAUAAAUAAGGCAGUUAAAGCAAAUAAAGCAAUUAAGUCAACUAUGCAUGCUUCUCUAACUAACAUCAGGUUUAAACGUGCAAAUAAAAUAAAUAGAAAGGGAAAACACAAUAAAAGUUACUUAAUGAAAAUCGGAUCUUCAACAAUUAGCAAACAUACGCACUCGUCACCUCACAUACAAGGCAUUUCAAUUAUCAUAAUACCAAUCCUAAGGGGAAAGUCCCCCACACAAGGUUAGACAAGCCACUUACCUCGAACCGACUCAAUAAUCAAUCCGAAACCACGCUCUUGCCACGAGUACUCGACUCCAAAUGGCCCAAAUCUAUUCAAUUCAAUUUCAUAACGCAAAUAACACUUCAAGUAACUAAUUCUACAAAAGAAUUCUAAGCUAAUACGUGAAAUUGGGUAAAAUGACCAAAAUACACCUCGAGCCCACAUCUCGGAAGCGGGUAAAAUUUAUAUUUUCAUAAUCCUCACACUCUCACGAUCUCAUGCAUACCAAAAUUACCAAAAUCGGACCUCAAAUGGUCCCUCAAAUCAUUACUCAAAGGUCUCCAAUACAAAGCCCUAGUUUCCCCAAAUUUUCACCCUUAAUUUCCACGAAUUCUAGCUCCAAUCCGUGAAAUAAUAGCAUAGGAACGAGUUUUAGGUCCAAAUUCCUCACCUCAAUGAAGUUCCCUUGAAAUCCCUCUUUCAAAUCAUCCCAAAAGCUCCCAAGCCAUGAUAAAAAUGGUGAAAUAAACCCCAAAGUCGCUGAACCCCUUUUAAAAUAAUCUUCCCAUUAGUUUACGCAUCUGCGUCCUUGGGACCCAUGUGCGGAACAAGGGGUAGCAUCUACGACUUACACUUAAAGUCCAAUUUUUGCACCUGCAAUUUCCCAUCCGCAGGUGCGGUACCACUUACCUGAUCAACGCUUUCAGCCUCAAUAUCAACCCCAUGGAUAUCCAUGGGGUCGAUAUUGAGGCUAAAAGCAUUGAGCAGGGAUGCCCACUGGAUCCUAUCGUUGGCGGGGCUCAGCAACAUCUUUUCUAUCAAUGGGAGGACUGUCCCGAGCCACUUGUUCGUUCCAUCUGAACCAAAACUCCCUAAAACCUUCCUUGGGUUUCUUUUCCAUAUGAGAUAGGGAGGAGCGGUCUGGGAUAAAAUCUUCAUUGCACUGAUAGUGCCAAACAAAAUCUUGAGCCAUGUCAUUCCAUGUAUGCCACUUACUAACAUCUUGACGAGUAUGCCAUUCCAAAACUGCCACAAUCAGGCUCUCACUGAAAUACGCCAUCACCAACUAAUCUCUCCUGCCAACACUUCUCAUUCCACUACAAUAACCCCUCAGAUGGGCUACUGGAUCUCCACGGCCAUCAUACAAAUUAAACUUUGGCAUCUUAAACCCUUUCAACUUUCUAAAUAUCUCAUUUUGCUCCACUAUCUUAGUAGGCUUUUCAGUUUCACCGGGAGGCUCAAAAUGAGGAGCGUGAGAGUAUGGAAUCGAGACCUUGAAAAUUGGUUCUGGAGCAUAGUGUUGGGCAUCGGGUACUUUGAACACAGUCUCGUUAGAGGAUCGAGGAAAAAUAGCUCGAGGAGGAGCUACAAGAGCAUAAGUUUCCAAAGGAGCGGGAUAUGAGGUGGUUUGGGGAGGUAGAGUAUGAAAAGGUUGUGGGGUGAUAUCAGUAACAAUAGGAAUCUGGAUUUGUGAUAGGGGUGGGAUAGUUGCAGGGUUUUCAGUAUAGUUAGCAGGGACUGGAGGUGGAGGAUGCCCUCUGAUCCAAGAUUGAUACAUUUCUGUCAUAUGUUGUUUCAACAUUUGGACCUCCCCUUUCAAUUCAGAUUCUGACCCAACAAUCUCCUUAGACGGAUCAAUAACACUUGUGUCCAAGUCUUUGCUAGCCAUGGCUGCCUUGUUCUUUGACCUUGUGUUGUAUGGAUGAGUUACUUAAGAACAACAAACCAACCACCCUUUUUCUAUAAUGAAGAUAACAAAUAGGAAUAGAAUGAAGUUAUCAUGUUAGCGUUAGGGCAUUUGACAGCUACAAAUAUCACAUUGUGUACAAUGCACCUAACAACAAUAAAUGGUUCAAGAAUGACUUCGAGGGUCACAAGGUCACUUGCAUCAUCCCAAUUUUGUUCAUUUCAAUCUUCUCUUUUCUUUUCUUUUCUUUUCUAGCACUUCUUGGCUUGCUCAUAUUCCUUCCCCUUUUUUUCUUUCUGAUUAUCGCUCUUUUCUUUCCUCUAAUUUCCCACGUCCCACAAUUUCAUCCUUUUUUUCUCUUUUCUUUUUUCUUGAUUUCUUUUUUCCUUUGAAAAUAAAAAAAAUGAUUUGAUCGAACCCUAUGUAGGUUACCUACGUAUCAUGACACCGGAUGAAUCAGAUCUUUGCGUAGUUUGGGAAGAUCGGGAAUAAAGCAAACAAACUAACGUUCUCUUUUUCCUUUUUUACCUUAAAGACUACUCUUAUGAAAAAUGAGAAAAAGAAGCAAAUCUUUUUUUUUUGAAUUUUAUAGACUUAAUGUUCUAUAACCUAUUCUAAACUCAGGCUUAAACGAGCAUAUAUCUUUUUUUAAAACAAAUACUCUACAAGAAAUUAUUAAGAAAAAAAAACCUAGCAGAAAAAAAAAUNNNNNNNNNNNNNNNNNNNNNNNNNGUUUUUGGAUUUUUGGAAUUAAUAUCUUAAAGAAAACUUCUAAAGAGGUAUUAGAAGAAAAUUCUCUUUUUUUUAAAUUUUUAGUCUUAAUAAACUAAAGGAAAUUUAAAAGAAAUUUUUAUUUCGAGUUCUAGAUAAUAAUUCAAUAAAGGAAAACCACCUCAAAUGAUUUUUUUUAUUCCUAUAAUUAGUAUUCUAAAGAAAACUUCUAAUGAAAAUAUAAAAGCGCAAAAUUUCUUCUUUUUUUUUGUAUUUUUGAUUUAUAACAUAUUUUCCAGAUACAAAAAUAGGAAAUACAAUAACAAAAGACUCGGAAAACUUAACUAGACUAUGACAAUCUCUAACAUUAUCUAAAAGACUCGACAUUACUGUACAAAACUAGAAGAUAAAAGAUGACGUAAAAAAAGAACAACAGACUCAAAACAUAAUAACUAAAAAAAAUCUUCUUAAGCAAACUCCUGAAUGAGCGACCCUGACUGGAUGGUCCUGGGGUGUCUCUCAUUCCCAAACUCCGGUAAGUAAGUCCACACCUGUAUGAGAAAAUUAAGACCAAAUAAAGUAUAAGACCUAGAACGCUAUGUGAGACAAUAACCCUUCCCGUUGGACACACGCAAGAUAUGAUUGUGACUAUUUUUCUAAAAUUAUUUAUGGGGCCAAAAGAUGGCUAGAAGUGCAAAAUUUUGCUAAGACCCCGCAAAGCCAAGAACCUAAGAUUCACUAGGAAGAUCGGACCCUAUGUGGGUUGCCUACGUAUCACGCCCCGAAAUAUGAAAAUCAGGUAAGUGUAGUUCGGGCAAAUUGGAUAUGGGUGAGAAUUAAAAAAAUAGCCAAUUUAGAGAAAACAUAUUUUUGUCUUUUGAUUUGAAAAAUGAUGAAACAUGUAAACUCUAUUUGGAUUUUCUUUUUCCUCUAUUUUGGGAAAGUGCAAAAUCUUUUUGGUUUUUUUUUCAUUUUUAUUUUUUGAUCUUUUCUUGAAAAAGCGUGAAAGAAAAUUCUAACUGGGCCCCACUUGCUUUAUUUUACACUUCACACUCUUUUCUUUCUCAUUUUCUCUCAACGCGCAUUGGUCCGCCAAAUGAUCCAUUUUACCCUUGAAGAAUGUAACAUAUAGUACAUAGAUAUAUCGAGAGGGCCUUUUAUUUUUUGGGGUACAUCUGUCCUAGACGGACCCAACCCUUGUGUUGAGUCCCCAAAGUCAAAUGCAUAUGAUGCAAUCAAGCGUUCCUACUAGCGAUCCGGUAUGAGGCUGUGUUAUUCUAGAUAUAAAACCUGGAUGUAUUGUUCUAGACCUGGCUUACCCGAGCGGACAACUCAAGCGGGGGGGGGAGGAGGGAGGGCAGCGUACCGGUAACCAAAAGAUUAUCCGUCUUUGCAACUUGUCCGAACCUCAUUCUAAAUUAGGGUAUGACACUAACACAAAGAAGUCACGCUAGCGUGCACUUCUCAGAAGAUUAGAAGAGAGGGGUUUCGUAGUAGUUUAUAUACAUUUCAGAUAAUAUCAAAGCGGUAAAAAGCAAUAUUUAGCCCAUUAGUUCCAAACAUGUAAAUAAAAUCAGAUAAUAAAUAAAGCCAAUUAUAACAGUUAUUCUAAGCUCGAAUUCUUGAACCAUGAACCAAAGGUUCUAGGUUAUGAUCCCCAGCAGAGUCGUCAGACCUGUCACACCUUCUUUUCCCACCCCGAAAGGGUAUAAAGAAGUUUUUUCCAAUUUAAGUGACAAUCGAAACGAGAUUUUUAUUUAAAAUUCAGAGUUGCCACUUGGGAUAAUUUAUGGUAUCCCAAGUCACCGGUUUAAAUCCCGAAUCGAGGAAGUUUGACUUUGUUUUACAGUCUGCGAAACACAGAAAUUCGGGUAAGGAAUUCUGUUAAUCUGGGAGAAGGUGUGAGGCAUUCUCGGGUUUCGUGGUUUUAGCACGGUCGCUCAAAUAUUAUUAUUGGCCUAUUUAUCUGAUUUUAAAAUACUCUUGAAACCUAUGUGCAUUUUUAUUCCUUUUAAACCGCUUUUAAUAAUCCGAUUGUUAUACGACUAAUUAUUCGAUUACACGUUGUGGAUCAUGUCACGGAAAUCGUACCCACAAUCCACAAUAUAUUUAUUUUAUUAACAAGACUAAAUUGUGGCCGGGUCACAUAAAUUUACCCCUGGUUUUAAAUUAUGUAUCACAACUACAUCACAGGAACCGUACCUAUAACUAUGACAAUUUAUUUAAUUAACGCGCCUAAAGCAAACUAUGAGAUUUCAAGGCAUUUUCUACACUAAUUAAGAUAUCGAUGUGAGGGUCAUAAACUAGUUGAUUGGAUGACACACCUCAAUUUUAUUAAAGGAAAAGCAUUCAAUUAAGUGAACUACGGAUAUUCGUAUUUCAAAACUAACUUGAAACUCAGUAUCAUAACUACACCACGGAAACUGUACCCGUAGCUGUAAUGAUUUUACUACAUGCCUAAAUGCAAGCUACGAUGUUCAUGAUUUUCCUAAAACUAAUUUUGACAUUAUUGUGAGUCCAUUGAUUAUGGAAUCAUUGGUGAAUAAGCUGCAUGUUUACCUACUGAUAGUUUAAUAUUGCUACCUAAUUUCUGAGUCAACGGAAAGGCAGCAUCCAAACAACUGCUUGAAACAUAGCCCGAAUUAUCACGUUUACAAGCAAAUGUACUACCUGGAAGUAUUCAACUAUAACAAUCGAACACAAACGAAUUUCACAAAUACUAAUGUGUUAUCUCUUUAACUUAUCUUCACAAUUAUCACCAACCCUCAAUACUACCAUAUACGAUUUAGCAAUAGAAUAAAACUUAUCCUUCAGAAGAUCAACAAAAUACAGCAAGACCUUUCAAACUUUAUACUCAUAGGUCUAAAUUUGAUAAACUAAUCAAUUUCUAAAUACAAGGCCGCAAAAAUGGCUAUUUUUAAAUCAGUCAACUCCCUUUGAGCACAAACCAAACCCAAAUGGCCAUCUACUAUUCCAUUCAACUUCAAAUAUAAGUAACAACUCAACAACACAAUUUAAAUAAGGAAAAACUCAAGGAAAGAAUCAGUAGCACACGACCUAAUCGAACAAGAAUAUAUGCCAAAACCAAUGGAAAACAACAGAAUUCACGACAAAAAUUGCAUCACAGACGGAUACCACAUAAACUAGCUCUUAAACAUUUCCAAUCUAACAGAAUCUCAACUAUCAUUAUAUUUCAAUCAACACCAUAAUAAGAUAAGGAGCAAAGAGAUGAACCCGAAUGUGAAAAGAAAACUUUCAAUUAAUUCCGUUUGGAAGUAGAUACACUUUGAGGUAACGACCAGAGCUUGAAAAAGAAGGAAAUAACAAACAAGUCCCAAUAACACGAAAUGAAACAACGAUUAUGGAUCUCGACAGCGACGAACUCGAACACCUCCAACAACAACCUCAGGCAGAAACUCGAAUCGGCGACUAAAAUUGAAACCUUGAACCUCAGCUAAACUCCAUUUGAAAACCAAAAUUGGAUAUUGAAUGGAUGAAAUAGAAGGAAUAUUUUGUUCUAACUCAAACACCAAUUCCCCUCCUUUUUUUCAACUUUUAAUGUACUGAUUUUUUGCUCAAUUGUUUUUCUUUCUUCUUUUUUCUCUCUGUUCCGAAUAUCUACGAAUGUGUGUGCUCGAUCUGAUGGGGGUUGCUGGUUUUCCGGCGAGUUCGGUGAUGAGAGAGCGACUAGGACUGUUGGUGACUGGUGUUGAGAAUGGGAAGAAGAAGAAACAUCGAUGGGGGGGUGGUCGCCGCUUCUGGUUUCCGGCGAACAACAACUAGUCUUUCGUAGGUCUUUAGGUUUGUUUUUUAGGUGUAUUUUUCGGCUCCUUUAGUCUUAGUAAGAAGAGGGACCUCCUGUACAGGGGGGGUCUCUUUGUUGUGAAUUGCUGAAGAAGAUGAAUUCAGGGGGGAAGCCCCUUUGUGUCAGCGGCGGAUCCUAUCCCUUGUGUGUCUAGGGUUCUAGGUUAUAAUUUUAGGUAGGGAAAUGGGGCGGGUCAGAGGGUUAUUUGGGUCAAGUCCAGUUUUUUCUUGGGCUAAGUAAGGAAAUGGGCUAGUUUAAGUGAAGAAGGG